GGACGCCAAACUUCCUAAUGCUGCAGAUAUCGAUGAGUUAAGUGAUAUUACCUCAGUGGAGGAAGAGCAGCACCAUAAAGAAUUGAAAGAACAAAAAUCUUCAAAAAAGCGAAAAAACAAAUCAAGACAUUCUGCUAGUAAGAAAGUGAAGGGGGGUGACUAGCACGUUUGAUGCAGUGGCGUAAGCUGUUGUAUUUUUCGAGUAGUUGAGCUAGUUCCUUCCAUAUGUUGAGCUUGAUGUUCCUGAUCUUCAUUCAAAUGGGUUGCACAUGCAAAGCGCGGGAGUAAUAUCCGUCAUCUAUC
RNAcentral lists this unclassified non-coding RNA (303 nucleotides) under Hevea brasiliensis (rubber tree). The record is from RNAcentral. Lineage: Eukaryota; Viridiplantae; Streptophyta; Magnoliopsida; Malpighiales; Euphorbiaceae.